AAAUUGAAGAGUUUGAUCAUGGCUCAGAUUGAACGCUGGCGGCAGGCCUAACACAUGCAAGUCGAACGGUAACAGGAAGCAGCUUGCUGCUGUGCUGACGAGUGGCGGACGGGUGAGUAAUGUCUGGGAAACUGCCCGAUGGAGGGGGAUAACUACUGGAAACGGUGGCUAAUACCGCAUAACGUCGCAAGACCAAAGAGGGGGACCUUCGGGCCUCUUGCCAUCAGAUGUGCCCAGAUG
RNAcentral lists this ribosomal RNA (240 nucleotides) under Salmonella enterica subsp. enterica serovar Schwarzengrund. Its description in RNAcentral is "partial 16S ribosomal RNA". It matches the Rfam family "Bacterial small subunit ribosomal RNA", at positions 1 to 237 of the family's 1533-position model. The record is from RNAcentral. Lineage: Bacteria; Pseudomonadati; Pseudomonadota; Gammaproteobacteria; Enterobacterales; Enterobacteriaceae.